UCUUUCCCCCUCCCCCUUUCUCUUCCCUCUUUCUUUCUCCCUAUCUCUCCUUUUCUUUUUCUCUCCCGCUAUCACUUCCUUCCUUUCCUACUCUUUGUUAACUUUUCAAUGUUCUAGUAUGCUGGUGUGAUUGUGUGUGUAUGAGGCAUUUUUUUUUUUUAUCUGCUUUACACUUUGAAAGUCUAAGAUCUGUUUUGGUUUGUCAAUUAUUGUACAGGGCCCCAUCCUCGCAAGCUAUGCUUUUCUUGGGGCCCUUCCAAUUUCUAUUCAUGAAUUUUGUAUGUAUUUAUUUUGAUUGAGUUUUUAAUAGAAAAUAAAUGAACUGAUCAAAUAUAGGUAUUUUCUAAUUGUUUUUAAUAAUGCAGAAAAAACAGGCUAAUCAGCAAGUAGAAUCUAGGAAUAAGGAGAUAAGCUGUAUAAUGGAUAAAUUGGUGGCCAAUAUAAAAUCCUCUCGUCAAUGUCCAAGCCCAAGCAGCAACAAGUGGCACCAAAGCUACCCAACAGGCAGCUGAACUGGAGGCUCUGAAGAUUAAGUUAAAGUAAAAAACCAAGGAGAAUGUUGAGCUCCGUGAAAAAGUCAACAAGUAAACAGAAUUAAGCACAAGGCUCCAGACUGAGAUCCUUGAUGUAUUUGGUAAGGCUUUCAUUUUUGAAGCUUUUUCACUUUUAAGGGAUUUUUUCACUUUGUUCUGACUUAUAUAUUAGAGAUGUAAAACAAAGUUUGAAAAUGGAUGAGGAUUGGUGUCAAUAACUACAGUAAAGAGCGAAUCUAGAACACAUGGAGAUCAGGCCUCGUUUUACAAAGAGCUACGACUGAUCCAAUCAGUCCUAACUCUAUGGAAAUCAGUUUCAUAAUUUUUUGUACAGGAAAUUUGCACGAUGUCUUUUGUAAACAAAGAAGCACAGCAAAUUUUCAAGAAAACAUUGAAUGCAUGAAUAUACAUCAUAUAUGGAAAAUAUUUUGAACAAACAUGCAUAAUGUUGACGUUGAUGGCCGUCCAUAGUUGCGAUUGAUCAAUUGUAACUCUUUGUAAGACAGGGCCCUGGUGAACCCAUCAUGACAACAUGCCCUGAAUGUACAGUGUAAUGUUGUGCAUAGGAGUUAACAGAAGACAGUGAACACAGCCAACAGACUGAAUUCUAAAUAACUUGGAAUACUGGUGUAAAGCUAAAUGCAUCUCAGCGAUGUCUACCAAAAGUCACGCUGACAAAUCGCUAUUAGUGUAUAAUUCAUAGUUUUCAUUGUAUAUUAUGGUGUGUUUCAGAUGUACAGCAUGCAUCAUCAAGUAUGAGAUUCUUAUUGUCACUGAAUAUCUUCCAUUUUCCAUCAAUAAAUGGCGCAGUAACAAAGUGGCAAAUAGUCUGGAGUUGUCGCCCCUUUUCUUCCUCUUCUAGCAAAAAUCAAUCAAGGAUGUUGGAUUUCAGUCCAUCUACCUCCACGCCCAUCCUACAUGUAACUCCUUCAGCAGACUCGGCUGCCCCUUCAGCAGACUUGGCUGCCCCGGCUUCAACUACCCCUACCCCGGCUUUGAUCCAGGAACACAUGGCAGAGCCAAAGAGAAUCUCUACGUUCCAAUAGAUGGAAAAGUAAGUUUAAAAGGACCAUCUUUUCAUCCGAAGAGAAUCUCUACAUUCCAAUAGAUGGAAAAGUAAGUUUAAAAGGACCAUCCCUUCAUCCGAAGAGAAUCUCUACAUUCCAAUAGAUGGAAAAGUAAGUUUAAAGGGUCCAUCCCUUCAUCCGAAGAGAAUCUCUACAUUCCAAUAGAUGGAAAAGUAAAUUUAAAAGGACCAUCCCUUCAUCCGAAGAGAAUCUCUACAUUCCAAUAGAUGGAAAAGUAAGUUUAAAGGGUCCAUCCCUUCAUCCGAAGAGAAUCUCUACAUUCCAAUAGAUGGAAAAGUAAGUUUAAAAGGACCAUCCCUUCAUCCGAAGAGAAUCUCUACAUUCCAAUAGAUGGAAAAGUAAGUUUAAAGGGUCCAUCCCUUCAUCCGAAGAGAAUCUCUACAUUCCAAUAGAUGGAAAAGUAAGUUUAAAAGGACCAUCCCUUCAUCCGAAGAGAAUCUCUACAUUCCAAUAGAUGGAAAAGUAAGUUUAAAAGGACCAUCCCUUUAUUUCAGUUGAUCCGUCGGAAUAUGUGAGUGUAACACUGGCAUAUUUAUGUAAUACCAAUUCAAGAAGAUAUUUGUGGAUGUGAAUUAAUGAAGACAUCUUGGUAACUCUACUAAUAUUUUGCUAAUUUUUUUAAAGGUUUCCCUUGGAGAGAAUGUAUCUUUGACAGCUCAGCAGUGGGAGAUACUGGCCCGCCAACGAUCCCAUUCUAUGUUUGUAAAGACGUUGGCAGUCAUGAUUUGGGGAUCAGGAGUUCUGAAGGAUAGAAGUGUUCAUGGCCGCCCAAAUCCAAGGAAUAAAGAGGCCCAGGUGAAGGCACCCCUGACUUGUGCUAAGCUGCAAGCAGUGAGGGGUGAGAUUCAGUAUCAGUUUCCUUGUGUUCCAUUGAAGUCACAAUGCAAGGGAAUAUGGUGCUAUAUGCAGGUGAUGUACCAAGGAUACAAGAGACCGACAGUGUCAAAAUAACACCAAACAGAACAGAGGCCGGUGCAACCAGCAGCUAUGGCGCGCCGUUUGACCAAUAAUUCACAUAAACACUGUUUAUCGCCGAAAAACACUGUUUAUCGAGCGAUAAACACUGUUUAUCAAGCGAUAAACAGUGUUUAUCGACUGAAAAACACAGUUUCUCUCGAUAAAUAGUGUUUAUCGCCGAAAAACACUGUUUAUCGCCGAUAAACACUGUUUAUCGAGAGAAACUGUGUUUAUCAGUCGAAAAACAUAGUAUCUCUCGAUAAACACUGUUUAUCGCCGAUAGACACUGUUUUUCGGCGAUAAACAAUGUUUAUCAAGCGAUAAACACUGUUUAUCGAGAGAAACUUGAUAAACAUAGUUUCUCUCGAUAAACAGUGUUUAUCGCUUGAUAAACAUUGUUUAUCGCCGAUAAACAGUGUUUUUCGGCGAUAAACACUGUUUAUCGAGAGAAACUAUGUUUUUCGACUGAUAAACACAGUUUCUCUUGAUAAACAGUGUUUAUCGGCGAUAAAAAUGUUUUUCGGCGAUAAACACUGUUUAUCUGAUUUAUUGGGCAAAUGGCGCGCACUCGUACUCUAGAUCAUGCAGUGCCGUAUCACCGUAUGCACUAGCUACUCUAGAUCUCCACGUGCGUGCGCCGGCACCACGUUUUAAAUUAUUAAAAAUACUGCCCUGUUGUUGGGAUGGACCUGUUUAACUAGAUUCUCUUGAUCUUGAGCAGAAUUUCAGCCAACUCCAGAAUGGUGGAACCUCUACCGAUGGGGGCAUUUGACCCACUAGAAGAUUCAGAUGAUAUGGGGUUUUUAUGUCCAUGGAGGAAUUGAUGGAUAUUCAAGGUGCAUCCCCUUCCUAUGCGUCAUCUUGGGAAAUACAG
Lytechinus pictus (painted urchin) is the source of this 3452-nucleotide long non-coding RNA. RefSeq lists it as uncharacterized. The record is from RefSeq and is a predicted model, not a curated record. Lineage: Eukaryota; Metazoa; Echinodermata; Echinoidea; Temnopleuroida; Toxopneustidae. The transcript has 3 exons.